Streptomyces sp. is the source of this 131-nucleotide non-coding RNA. The record is from Rfam. NCBI's taxonomy places the organism in Bacteria, Bacillati, Actinomycetota, Actinomycetes, Kitasatosporales, Streptomycetaceae.
CAGCGCACUCCGGGGUCGGUGUAAUUCCGAACCGGCGGUAACAGUCCGCGACCCGUCCGCAGCCAGCGGCCGGUUGAGCAGGUGAAAUUCCUGCACCGACGGUGAAAGUCCGGAUGGGAGGCAGUGCGCGG